GACGAACGCUGGCGGCGUGCUUAACACAUGCAAGUCGAACGGAAAGGCCCUGCUUUUGUGGGGUGCUCGAGUGGCGAACGGGUGAGUAACACGUGAGUAACCUGCCCUUGACUUUGGGAUAACUUCAGGAAACUGGGGCUAAUACCGGAUAGGAGCUCCUGCUGCAUGGUGGGGGUUGGAAAGUUUCGGCGGUUGGGGAUGGACUCGCGGCUUAUCAGCUUGUUGGUGGGGUAGUGGCUUACCAAGGCUUUGACGGGUAGCCGGCCUGAGAGGGUGACCGGCCACAUUGGGACUGAGGUACGGCCCAGACUCCUACGGGCGGCAGCAGGGGGGAAUAUUGCAGAAUGGGCGGAAGCCUGAGGCAGCAACGCCGCGUGCGGGAUGACGGCCUACGGGUUGUAAACCGCUUUCGCCUGUGACGAAGCGUGCGUGACGGUAAUGGGUAAAGAAGCACCGGCUAACUACGUG
Molecule: ribosomal RNA, 468 nt
Filed under: uncultured bacterium
Lineage: Bacteria
Description: partial 16S ribosomal RNA
Rfam family: Bacterial small subunit ribosomal RNA
Source: RNAcentral